CAAAAGCGUAUAUUAAAGUUGUUGCAGUUAAAAAGCUCGUAGUUGAACCUUGGGCUUGGCUGGCCGGUCCAUCUUUUUUGAUGCGUACUGGACCCAGCCGAGCCUUUCCUUCUGGCUAGCCUUUUGGCUAACCAGGACUUUUACUUUGAAAAAAUUAGAGUGUUCAAAGCAGGCCUUUGCUCGAAUAUAUUAGCAUGGAAUAAUAGAAUAGGACGUUAUGGUUCUAUUUUGUUGGUUUCUAGGACCAUCGUAAUGAUUAAUAGGGACGGUCGGGGGUAUCAGUAUUCAGUUGUCAGAGGUGAAAUUCUUGGAUUUACUGAAGACUAACUACUGCGAAAGCAUUUACCAAGGACGUUUUCAUUAA
This 364-nucleotide ribosomal RNA is filed under the name uncultured eukaryote. RNAcentral's name for it is "partial 18S ribosomal RNA". It matches the Rfam family "Eukaryotic small subunit ribosomal RNA", at positions 592 to 976 of the family's 1831-position model. The record is from RNAcentral.